Odocoileus virginianus texanus is the source of this 455-nucleotide long non-coding RNA. RefSeq lists it as uncharacterized. The record is from RefSeq and is a predicted model, not a curated record. Lineage: Eukaryota; Metazoa; Chordata; Mammalia; Artiodactyla; Cervidae.
CUGAACAAAAAGAAUUCAAACAGGCUAUCCAGCCUUCCUACUGCCCCUGAAGUCAAGCCAAAGGUCUUGAUUUUCAAGUGAGAACGUGGACUUUGGAGGCAAACUGUUGGGGAUUAUGAAAACAGAACUUAAAUUGCUUCCACAUCUGGAAACCAAACCCAGCGGCCAGCCCCAAGAAUUCCAGGCAUGUUAGCCUGGAGAGGCUGCAGGUCAGGGGAGGUGUUUCCUGUUGGCUGAGUCCCUGGCAUCCACCUCCCCGAAUCCAUAGGCAAGAAGUGACUGCGAGCAGCCAGGUGGAACCACACCAGAGAGGAAGCAAAGCCGGGAAGGCUCAUCGGACCCAGAGAUGGCCACGCACCCCCACACCUCUCCCCAGGAACGCCUUCACGUCCACACCCCUCGACCGCGGGGGCCAGGAGAUGUAGGUUCGAUCCCUGGUCCAGGAAGAUCCCACA